CACAGGUGCUGCAUGGCUGUCGUCAGCUCGUGUCGUGAGAUGUUGGGUUAAGUCCCGCAACGAGCGCAACCCUUGUCGUUAAUUGCCAUCAUUUAGUUGGGCACUUUAACGAGACUGCCGGUGACAAACCGGAGGAAGGUGGGGAUGACGUCAAGUCCUCAUGGCCCUUAUGGGUAGGGCUUCACACGUCAUACAAUGGUCGGUACAAAGGGUCGCCAACCCGCGAGGGGGAGCCAAUCCCAAAAAGCCGAUCGUAGUCCGGAUUGCAGGCUGCAACUCGCCUGCGUGAAGUCGGAAUCGCUAGUAAUCGUGGAUCAGAAUGUCGCGGUGAAUACGUUCCCGGGCCUUGU
This 350-nucleotide ribosomal RNA is filed under the name uncultured bacterium. Its description in RNAcentral is "bacterial SSU rRNA". It matches the Rfam family "Bacterial small subunit ribosomal RNA", at positions 1033 to 1384 of the family's 1533-position model. The record is from RNAcentral.